Molecule: long non-coding RNA, 511 nt
Organism: Vicia villosa (hairy vetch)
Lineage: Eukaryota; Viridiplantae; Streptophyta; Magnoliopsida; Fabales; Fabaceae
Exons: 2
Source: RefSeq, a predicted model, not a curated record
UUUAAACAAACACUAAUAGACUAGCAAAACUCUAUUUCAAGUUCACUUUAUUUAAGACAUGUACUAGUACUAGCAGUAGAAAUUCAAUAUGACUUGUGUAUUUUACUGUUUUUCCAUCAAUAGUAGCAAUACGAAGAAACAUACUUACACGAAGAAACAUGAAGAAACAUACUAAAAAAGUGUUCAACGAUCAGCUCCACCAUAUUUAUAUGUUUGUAGUAGCGAUCGAAACAGUUACCAAGAUGCCAAAACUGUAUUCAUCAAACAUCGAGAUUAAGAUAGCCAAGCUACUAUACGGUUUGACGACUUUCAAGAACCUACGAGUCUUUAUCGCACAAAGCAAGCUUUGAUUACAACAUCUUUACGCAUGCUUGUGAGUUAGAGCUUUUGUAUUUUUGUAUUUAUUCGUUUUUUAUAUAGAUGACCUAAGAAUUGUUUUCAACUUACUAUAUACUGUACACUUGAAUGAAAAAUAUUUAGACUAGUAUUACAAAUUAACCAAAUCAUUCAA